AUUAUUGCCAGAGCCGAAGGCGUGUGCAGUAAUGCCUACACGUCAAAAUAACAUUCUGGCAAUAGGUGCAUACCAUAUUUUAUCUUUCGAGAACAGAUAUAUCGAGAUAAGUAAAAACUCCCUAGGGAGAUAAGCUCGACAUUAUCGUUCUAAAUAGAUAAAUAACUUGUGUUUUCUUAUAAUUAU
Molecule: long non-coding RNA, 186 nt
Organism: Bradysia coprophila
Lineage: Eukaryota; Metazoa; Arthropoda; Insecta; Diptera; Sciaridae
Source: RefSeq, a predicted model, not a curated record